Macrobrachium nipponense is the source of this 845-nucleotide long non-coding RNA. RefSeq lists it as uncharacterized. The record is from RefSeq and is a predicted model, not a curated record. The transcript has 3 exons. NCBI's taxonomy places the organism in Eukaryota, Metazoa, Arthropoda, Malacostraca, Decapoda, Palaemonidae.
AGUCUCUCUUGGUAUACUCGUGUGUGUGUGUGUGCGUGUGCGUGUGUGUUUGCGCACGCGCGCGCGAGCAAACAUAAUUGUGCUUUGGACGUCGGAUGUCGUACCUAGUACAUAAAUGGACUAAUAAAACUUGUUCAGAAGGUGAUCGUUUGAAAUACUGAAUAACAGCAAAGUGCUGAGUCAUCGCUGGGCAUAAAAGGAACAGAAUAAUGCUUCAAGAACAUCAAGAGUCAACUUCCAUAAAAUUAUGAAGGGGAGACGCAGUUGCUUAAACAUGUGCCUCUCCCCACUCAGAGGAGAAUAAUACGUGAUAGUGUCAGCUGAGCUCCUUCAAGCACCAAAAGAGAUGAAAAACAUGGCUCAAUAGGAUGAGAACAAUCUGGCGGAUGGCUCAAGAUGACUGCAGAUUUGUAAAAGUGCAAGCACAGGAGCCAUGAGGGACAACGCAUGGCUUUGGAGGCGAUGAUGGUAUUGUCAUUAAAUAUAUAUUGAGCGUAUCAAACAUUAACACAGUUUCAAAGGCUAAAACAUUAUGCAUCAUGUCACACACAUUAUAUGCAUCUUGAGUAAUUAAAUCAAAUACGCACCGUGUCCCGUCACUAAAUAUAUCUUAGAAGUUUAAAACAUUUACAAAACAUGUCUUGUCAGUAUCUAUAUCUUGAGAGUCAAAAAUAUGUAUAAAGCACGUCGUUAUUAUGUAUGUAUGUAUGUAUAUGUAUAUGUAUAUGUAUAUGCAUGUGUAAAUAUGUAUUUGUGUGUCAAACUAUAAUUUGAAAGGUCAUAAUAAUGUUACAUCAUGUCUUGUAAAUGAAGAUACCUUGAAAUGUUAUGUGAUUUUUACUUCU